CGGAACGUGCCCAGUAGCGGGGGAUAACUACGCGAAAGCGUAGCUAAUACCGCAUACGCCCUUAGGGGGAAAGCAGGGGAUCGCAAGACCUCGCACUAUUGGAGCGGCCGAUAUCGGAUUAGCUAGUUGGUGAGGUAAUGGCUCACCAAGGCCGCGAUCCGUAGCUGGUUUGAGAGGACGACCAGCCACACUGGGACUGAGACACGGCCCAGACUCCUACGGGAGGCAGCAGUGGGGAAUUUUGGACAAUGGGGGAAACCCUGAUCCAGCCAUCCCGCGUGUGCGAUGAAGGCCCUCGGGUUGUAAAGCACUUUUGGCAGGAAAGAAACGGCGCGUGCUAAUACCAUGCGCAACUGACGGUACCUGCAGAAUAAGCACCGGCUAACUACGUGCCAGCAGCCGCGGUAAUACGUAGGGUGCAAGCGUUAAUCGGAAUUACUGGGCGUAAAGCGUGCGCAGGCGGUUCGGAAAGAAAGAUGUGAAAUCCCAGGGCUCAACCUUGGAACUGCAUUUUUAACUACCGGACUAGAGUAUGUCAGAGGGAGGUGGAAUUCCACGU
This 559-nucleotide ribosomal RNA is filed under the name uncultured bacterium. Its description in RNAcentral is "bacterial SSU rRNA". It matches the Rfam family "Bacterial small subunit ribosomal RNA", at positions 119 to 674 of the family's 1533-position model. The record is from RNAcentral.